Molecule: ribosomal RNA, 439 nt
Filed under: uncultured bacterium
Lineage: Bacteria
Description: partial 16S ribosomal RNA
Rfam family: Bacterial small subunit ribosomal RNA
Source: RNAcentral
CUACGGGGCGCUGCAGUGGGGAAUUUUGCGCAAUGGGCGAAAGCCUGACGCAGCAAUACCGCGUGAGUGAAGAAGGCCUUUGGGUCGUAAAGCUCUUUUCUGGGGGAAGAUAGUGACGGUACCCCAGGAAUAAGCACCGGCUAACUCCGUGCCAGCAGCCGCGGUAAUACGGAGGGUGCAAGCGUUGUUCGGAUUUACUGGGCGUAAAGGGCACGUAGGCGGCACAGCAAGUUAAGGGUGAAAUCCCGGGGCUCAACUCCGGAACUGCUCUUAAAACUGCUGAGCUAGAGAUGGUCAGAGGCGGGUAGAAUUCCUGGUGUAGAGGUGAAAUUCGUAGAUAUCAGGAGGAAUACCGGUGGCGAAGGCGGCCCGCUGGGGCCAUUCUGACGCUAAGGUGCGAAAGCGUGGGGAGCGAACGGGAUUAGAUACCCCCGUAGUC